This is a non-coding RNA of Chlorocebus sabaeus (green monkey), 148 nucleotides long. It matches the Rfam family "Metazoan signal recognition particle RNA". From Rfam's summary of the family: The signal recognition particle (SRP) is a universally conserved ribonucleoprotein. It is involved in the co-translational targeting of proteins to membranes. The record is from Rfam. Lineage: Eukaryota; Metazoa; Chordata; Mammalia; Primates; Cercopithecidae.
GCCAAGCAUGGUGGCUCAUGCCUGUAAUUCCAGCACUUCAGAAGGCUGAGGUGGGAGGAUCACUUGAGUCUAGGAGUUCAGGGCUGCAGUGAGCUAUGAUCGUGCCACUGCACUCCAGCAUGGACAACAAAAUGAGACCCUGUCUCUA